This 207-nucleotide unclassified non-coding RNA is filed under the name soil metagenome. RNAcentral describes it as "partial internal transcribed spacer 1". The record is from RNAcentral.
CCGAGUUUACAAGCUCCCAAACCCCAUGUGAACGCUACCAAACUGUUGCCUCGGCGGGAUCUCUGCCCCGGGCGCGUCGCAGCCCCGGACCAAGGCGCCCGCCGGAGGGGAAAAAAAAAACCAAAACUCCUUUGCAUACCCCCUCGCGGGUUUUCUUACUUCUGAGACUUUCUCGGCGCUCCCAGCGGGCGUUCCGAAAAUAAAUCA